Molecule: long non-coding RNA, 202 nt
Filed under: Lathyrus oleraceus (garden pea)
Lineage: Eukaryota; Viridiplantae; Streptophyta; Magnoliopsida; Fabales; Fabaceae
Description: Pisum sativum (pea) long non-coding RNA (PSAT_LNC008410)
Source: RNAcentral
ACAAACAAAUAUGCAUUAAAAAAUGAACAUAUAAAUUAUUUAAUUUUACAAUUCCAUAGAAAGUAUUCUAUAAGCGCUACAAUACCAUAAAAAACACAAAGAAACAUUUCACUAAAUAAAAUUUAAAAUCAUUAAUGUUUUCUUAACGAAUAAAUAAAUCAUUAAUGUUUUAAAUAUAUUUCCGUUUAAUAAAACAUUUAAA